RNAcentral lists this ribosomal RNA (447 nucleotides) under uncultured bacterium. RNAcentral describes it as "bacterial SSU rRNA". It matches the Rfam family "Bacterial small subunit ribosomal RNA", at positions 329 to 793 of the family's 1533-position model. The record is from RNAcentral.
GACCAGACUCCUACGGGAGGCAGCAGUGGGGAAUAUUGCACAAUGGGGGAAACCCUGAUGCAGCGACGCCGCGUGAGUGAAGAAGUAUUUCGGUAUGUAAAGCUCUAUCAGCAGGGAAGAAAAUGACGGUACCUGACUAAGAAGCCCCGGCUAACUACGUGCCAGCAGCCGCGGUAAUACGUAGGGGGCAAGCGUUAUCCGGAUUUACUGGGUGUAAAGGGAGCGUAGACGGCAUGGCAAGUCAGAUGUGAAAGCCCGGGGCUCAACCCCGGGACUGCAUUUGAAACUGUCAGGCUGGAGUGCAGGAGAGGUAAGUGGAAUUCCUAGUGUAGCGGUGAAAUGCGUAGAUAUUAGGAGGAACACCAGUGGCGAAGGCGGCUUACUGGACUGUAACUGACGUUGAGGCUCGAAAGCGUGGGGAGCAAACAGGAUUAGAUACCCCGGUAU